Molecule: transfer RNA, 72 nt
Filed under: Prevotellaceae bacterium
Lineage: Bacteria; Pseudomonadati; Bacteroidota; Bacteroidia; Bacteroidales; Prevotellaceae
Description: tRNA-Glu
Rfam family: tRNA
About the family: Transfer RNA (tRNA) molecules are approximately 80 nucleotides in length. Their secondary structure includes four short double-helical elements and three loops (D, anti-codon, and T loops).
Source: RNAcentral
GGUCCGUUCAUCUAAGGGUUAGGAUACAAGAUUUUCAUUCUUGUCAUAGGGGUUCGAAUCCCCUACGGACUA